Molecule: long non-coding RNA, 199 nt
Filed under: Elaeis guineensis (African oil palm)
Lineage: Eukaryota; Viridiplantae; Streptophyta; Magnoliopsida; Arecales; Arecaceae
Description: long non-coding RNA (EGUI_LNC074288)
Source: RNAcentral
AGGAAGGUUCGUGGAAUGUGGUCUUGAGAGGUACGGGCACCUACUCUCAAAGAAAGAUUUUUUUGAUGUGAUCACACUGACUUAUGUGCGGAUGGAUAGAGGCGGCGCAUCCCAAAAUUAGGAAAGUUUGCCUUUUCCUCGUCUCCAUAGCCAAACACCAACAGCGGUACAGCACUGUCAAACUAUAAAUGUCAAUGGC